RNAcentral lists this ribosomal RNA (253 nucleotides) under uncultured bacterium. RNAcentral describes it as "partial 16S ribosomal RNA". It matches the Rfam family "Bacterial small subunit ribosomal RNA", at positions 524 to 776 of the family's 1533-position model. The record is from RNAcentral.
UACGUAGGUGGCUAGCGUUGUCCGGAUUUACUGGGCGUAAGGGGUCCGUAGGCGGUGUGGCAAGUCGGAAGUGAAAGCCCAGGGCUCAACCCUGGAAUUGCCUUUGAAACUGGUGAGCUUGAGUACGGGAGAGGUGAGUGGAAUUCCGAGUGUAGAGGUGAAAGUCGUAGAUAUUCGGAAGAACACCAGUGGCGAAGGCGGCUCACUGGCCCGUAUCUGACGCUCAGGCGCGACAGCGUGGGGAGCAAACAGG